CAGCUUCAGCAGCAGAAAUAUUAAAAUGGGAAUGACACAGAGAAGACAAGCAUAACUCCUAGGCAAGGAUGAUACGCAAAUUCAUGAAGCGUUCCAUAAAAAAUUGUU
RNAcentral lists this small nuclear RNA (108 nucleotides) under Carlito syrichta (Philippine tarsier). The record is from RNAcentral. Lineage: Eukaryota; Metazoa; Chordata; Mammalia; Primates; Tarsiidae.